This 429-nucleotide ribosomal RNA is filed under the name Chloroflexota bacterium. RNAcentral describes it as "Chloroflexi bacterium partial 16S ribosomal RNA". It matches the Rfam family "Bacterial small subunit ribosomal RNA", at positions 355 to 776 of the family's 1533-position model. The record is from RNAcentral. Lineage: Bacteria; Bacillati; Chloroflexota.
UGGGGAAUAUUGCAUAAUGGGCGCAAGCCUGAUGCAGCCAUGCCGCGUGUAUGAAGAAGGCCUUCGGGUUGUAAAGUACUUUCAGUCGGGAGGAAGGUGGUAAGGUUAAUAACCUUAUCAAUUGACGUUACCGACAGAAGAAGCACCGGCUAACUCCGUGCCAGCAGCCGCGGUAAUACGGAGGGUGCAAGCGUUAAUCGGAAUUACUGGGCGUAAAGCGCACGCAGGCGGUUGAUUGAGUCAGAUGUGAAAUCCCCGGGCUUAACCCGGGAAUUGCAUCUGAUACUGGUCAGCUAGAGUCUUGUAGAGGGGGGUAGAAUUCCAUGUGUAGCGGUGAAAUGCGUAGAGAUGUGGAGGAAUACCGGUGGCGAAGGCGGCCCCCUGGACAAAGACUGACGCUCAGGUGCGAAAGCGUGGGGAGCAAACAGG